RNAcentral lists this ribosomal RNA (468 nucleotides) under uncultured bacterium. Its description in RNAcentral is "partial 16S ribosomal RNA". It matches the Rfam family "Bacterial small subunit ribosomal RNA", at positions 28 to 507 of the family's 1533-position model. The record is from RNAcentral.
GACGAACGCUGGCGGCGUGCUUAACACAUGCAAGUCGAACGGAAAGGCCCUGCUCUUGUGGGUUGCUCGAGUGGCGAACGGGUGAGUAACACGUGAGGAACCUGCCCUUGAAUUUGGGAUAACUUCAGGAGACUCGGGCUAAUACCGGAGAGGAGCUCCUGCUGCACGGGGUGGGUUGGAAAGUUUCGGCGGUUGGGGAUGGACUCGCGGGUUAUCAGCUUGUUUGUGGGGUAGUGGCUUUCCAAGGCUUAGACGGGUAGCAGGCCUGAGAGGGUGGCCAGCGACAUUGGGACUGAGGUAGGGCCCAGACUCCUACGGGCGGCAGCGGUGGGGAAUAUUGCACAGUGAGCCGAAGCGUGAGGCAGAAACGCCGGGUGCGGGAUGACGGCCUUCGGGUUGUAAACCGCUUUCGCAUGUGCCGAAGCGUGAGUGACGGUAAUGAGUAAAGAAGCAACGGCUAACUACGUG